Long non-coding RNA from Leopardus geoffroyi (Geoffroy's cat), 239 nucleotides. RefSeq lists it as uncharacterized. The transcript has 2 exons. The record is from RefSeq and is a predicted model, not a curated record. NCBI's taxonomy places the organism in Eukaryota, Metazoa, Chordata, Mammalia, Carnivora, Felidae.
CUGAGCCAAAAUCUAGUGGGGUGCUCAACUGACCGAGCCACCCAGGCACAAACGUCUGACAGCGUGCUCGUGGGCAAAGGCCCCUUUAUGUAAUGGAGAGCCUUGAAUGAACAACGCCCGUACACAGGCUGGAUGCACAUCCCCACCAGCACCUUCAGCCCAGGACCCACCCACAUGUAUGAAAUUAACUCAUCGUAGGGCCUCUUGGGCAAAUGAAUGAAAUAAAUGCUUUUCUCCUA